This is a long non-coding RNA of Taeniopygia guttata (zebra finch), 2508 nucleotides long. NCBI's taxonomy places the organism in Eukaryota, Metazoa, Chordata, Aves, Passeriformes, Estrildidae. The record is from Ensembl.
CCAGGUAUCAGAGGAAGAUUAUGAAGGUGUGCACCCCGUGAAAAAAAAUUGAGACUUUGCAUCAUCUCUGUUGCAGCACUGUUAUUGUUAAUAUUGCUUCUGAAAAGUAGUGAUGCAUAUAGCCAGAAUCCCCUCCACAGAAGGCUAGUGAUGAAAGGGGGUGAGGGAAGUUAGCUGAUAUCUCCAAAAGUCCAAUCAUAUUUGCAUCAAUAUUCAUGCUGUUUGUACACUAUCACAAGACGCCCAGCAAAACUGCACACUUUUAUCUCUGGAAGUCAUAUCCAACUCAGAUCCCAGGAGAGGGGUGAGAUUUGCAGAUAUCUGUGAGAAGCCAGCAUUGUGCAGGACUUUUUACCAAGAUAUAAAUGAACAAACAAGCAAACACCUUUAGCUCUCAAGGGGCUUUGUAGAAGUACACUCUGAAAAAGUAUGAAAGCAGAGUAACUCUAGGUUUAGCUACUUUCUUAAGUGCAGUAACCCAAAACUAUUUAAACACACGUCAUGCCAGGAUUUAAGAAGAAUAUUGACCUCCAUGCAGGUAGUCCUAUGCUACUGAGAAAAUUAUGAAAUAACAAAAGAUCAGUCACAAAAAUGAUAGGAUGAAAAAAUGAAUUCAUCAUUUCCUUCUUCUCUCCAAACAGAUGAGAUAAAAUACCUCCUCAAAUAUAGAAGAAUCCAGGAAAAGGUAAAAGUCAGACAUUGUAAGGUCAAUGGGUCAUCUGGUCAAGUCCUGCUUGAAAGCAACUGCUGCAAAGGCAUGAAGAAAGGUUUCACAAUGAGAAAAAUACGCAGUCUAUGUUUUCUCCAUUGCUGAAGACUCAUCUAAUGAUCCAGCCAGCCCAGUUUGCUGCCAGAGGACCUGUCCUGCUCAUCUUGUCAGAUGCCAUGAGAAGAUACCCUCAUCAGGGAGGGUCCUGUCUAGCCUGCUCUGCCCUCACCCCUGGCUCCUGGCAUACAAACAUGCAUACACUUCUGUGCAAAGUUACAAAGUUACAUUUUUGAGCUGUUCUUCAUUUCAUUUUCUACCAUCUUGUGUUGCCACUCAAGAUAUCAGUGACUGUGGAACAUUGACUUACCUGUGCUUACUUUCUAACUGUGGACACCUUCAUUUUUAAAUGCCAUGGGAAAUAACAUGAAAGGGAAAAAAAAAAAAAUGUACUCUUGGCCCUGUUUAAAAUGAAACUGCAGUGGUGUUUUCACUAGCGAGCAAAUUGGGAAAAUAGCUGCUCAAGAAACUGAGACUGCACCAAAUAAAUUUGUGCUCUGAAGAUCCUGAAUAAUUCAGUUCCAAUGAGCAGCUUAAUUCUGUUAUCCAUAUGAAACUGCUUGAUAUAAGCAACUUGAAAAACUGAAGUAUAUUUUUAAAAAAAAUGCACCAAAACAGAGAAACACAAAAUUGCACUGUAGAUAGCCACACUUCCAGACCAGAUCCAGGUUUAGGGUAUAAUACUUUGCCACAUCUUAAAAAUAGACAAAAGUAAAAAUUAUGAGUAAGAAAAACUGCUACAAAGAAGUCAUGCUGCAUGUACAGAAACCAGAAAGUCUUGAAGGCCUGGAAUAAGAUAACCAAAUAUAUUUAGGUCAAGAACUACAUAACCUUCAUGGUAAACUGAUAUUAUUUCAGUCUGACAAAACACAGAUUAUCAUGAUCUGUCGAUUUUUUUUGAUUUCUUUGGAUUACAAGGAUCAGAAUUAAUAAGUUACAAUAAGUCUUACAGCACCAAGCACAUGUGGUCUGUUCUGAUGAUAGUCAUAGUUUUUUUUAGAAAUUAAAAUAGGCUGAUUAAAGGGAAAAAAUUGAGUUAACUUUGCUGAGUAGUGCAAGGUUGCUACAGAAACAUAAGCCAUGCUGCAGGCAUGCAGAAAAUUGCAGUUGCAGCCAUGGGCCGCAACUGCAAUUUUUACCUUAUCACCUCCUUAGCUGAAGAAACACAGCAGAGGAGAUAGAGCAUUUCAGCAGUGCGUGCUGCUGCAAUAAAAGGCACAAAAUAUUCUGAUUAAGCUGUUCUGAUGCAAGUACCAAACUGGCUUCUGUGCGUUAAAGGGUGAAUACAGCCUGACCUAGAUGCCAGUGUCAGGACCAGUGGGAAUUACUCGCAGGAUUAUCUGUGAUGUUUACCUGCCAGCUCAACAAAGCCAAGUCAGGUCAGGUUUAGCUAAGUUGCAAUCAUCACACUGGCAAUAGUUUUCAUGUCUUUACUAAGGAUAUCUGCAGGGGCCUUAAUCAUGUUAAAGUAAGCACUCUGUCUUGACACCUCCUAAUUCAUUACAGCUCACAUAAUUAUUUGGAGAACAAAAUAAUUAACAUCAACAUAUAUUCUCAGCUGACUGAUACUCUCCUGAUUUCAUGUGUAGCUGAAAACAAGGACUGGAGCUAAGAUAUGUAUACAGGUACUGGUAGAAUGAACUACGGCAAAUUUCUUAUUUUUUUGGGUCUUUUUUAAUACAAAUAUCUUGAUAGUAAAAGGCAUGUGCAAGAUACAGUAAAUAAAUAAAUGCCUAACAAAG